RNAcentral lists this long non-coding RNA (480 nucleotides) under Olea europaea subsp. europaea. The record is from RNAcentral. Lineage: Eukaryota; Viridiplantae; Streptophyta; Magnoliopsida; Lamiales; Oleaceae.
UUCCAAACAAAUUCUAAAUUCCUUUAACAAAAGAAUUGGCCAACUAAUUCAUUAAAUAAUGUGUAAACUAAAUAAAAACACGACUAAAAGAAAAACAAGUUCAAGACUCAAUCUCAUUCAUGCAUAAUAUGUUAGGAAAUUAGAUCGCUACUAAUUCCGCCAGGAUCAGUGGGAUGCAAAAUAAUUUAAACUGAGAAGAAAUAAAUGUAUCAAAAAUAAUAAGUGCAAGUGACACAAAAAUUUACGUGGUUCGGCAAUCGUGCCUACGUCCACAAACCCACACCAAUUCUUUUCCUGUAUCAACAAGAGAAUAAAAGGAAUACAACAAAUACACUUUCUAUAUUUUAUUUGCCUACGCAAAGACAAUCUCUCAAUUUUCUCUCAUUAAUUUUCUACACAAACGAAAGCCUAACUGCUUCUCACUUUGUGUUUUGCUCACUAUCUCUCGUGUUUUCACUCUACACGAUUUUCUUGCACUUC